RNAcentral lists this ribosomal RNA (409 nucleotides) under bacterium. RNAcentral's name for it is "partial 16S ribosomal RNA". It matches the Rfam family "Bacterial small subunit ribosomal RNA", at positions 355 to 776 of the family's 1533-position model. The record is from RNAcentral.
UGGGGAAUAUUGCACAAUGGGCGAAAGCCUGAUGCAGCGACGCCGCGUGAGGGAUGACGGCCUUCGGGUUGUAAACCUCUUUCAGCAGGGACGAAGCGCAAGUGACGGUACCUGCAGAAGAAGCACCGGCUAACUACGUGCCAGCAGCCGCGGUAAUACGUAGGGUGCAAGCGUUGUCCGGAAUUACUGGGCGUAAAGAGUUCGUAGGCGGUUUGUCGCGUCGUUUGUGAAAACCAGCAGCUCAACUGCUGGCUUGCAGGCGAUACGGGCAGACUUGAGUACUGCAGGGGAGACUGGAAUUCCUGGUGUAGCGGUGAAAUGCGCAGAUAUCGGGAUGAACACCGGUGGCGAAGGCGGGUCUCUGGGCAGUAACUGACGCUGAGGAACGAAAGCGUGGGUAGCUAACAGG